GGUGGUGUCGGUGGACUGUAUCCAGGGCAAGUGCCAGGAGGAUAUGGAGCUGGGUCUAAGGCUGCAAAAUAUGGAGUACCAGGGGGAGUACCAGGGGGAGU
Seriola dumerili (greater amberjack) is the source of this 101-nucleotide long non-coding RNA. RefSeq lists it as uncharacterized. The transcript has 3 exons. NCBI's taxonomy places the organism in Eukaryota, Metazoa, Chordata, Actinopteri, Carangiformes, Carangidae. The record is from RefSeq and is a predicted model, not a curated record.